RNAcentral lists this ribosomal RNA (253 nucleotides) under uncultured bacterium. RNAcentral's name for it is "partial 16S ribosomal RNA". It matches the Rfam family "Bacterial small subunit ribosomal RNA", at positions 524 to 776 of the family's 1533-position model. The record is from RNAcentral.
UACGUAGGCAGCGAGCGUUGUUCGGAGUUACUGGGCGUAAAGAGUGCGUAGGCGGUUUUCUAAGUUUGGUGUGAAAUCUCCCGGCUUAACUGGGAGGGUGCGCCGAAGACUGGAAGGCUUGAGUAUGGGAGAGGUAAGCGGAAUUCCUGGUGUAGCGGUGAAAUGCGUAGAUAUCAGGAGGAACACCGGUGGCGAAGGCGGGUCUCUGGGAAGUAACUGACGCUGAGAAGCGAAAGCGUGGGUAGCGAACAGG